CGCUGGCGGCGUGCCUAACACAUGCAAGUCAACUUGACUGAAGGAGCAAUCUGACAGUAGAGUGGCGCAAGGGUGCGUAACGCGUAAGUAACUUGCCCAAGGUAGGAAUAACGUCGAGAAAUCGGCGCUAAUACCUCAUAAUGCAGCGGAUCCGCAUGGAUAUGUUGUUAAAGGUUUACCGCCUUGGGAUAGGCUUGCGUCUGAUUAGCUAGUUGGUGUGGUAACGGCACACCAAGGCUACGAUCAGUAACUGGUCUGAGAGGAUGAUCAGUCACACUGGAACUGAGACACGGUCCAGACUCCUACGGGAGGCAGCAGUGAGGAAUAUUGGGCAAUGCUCGAAAGAGUGACCCAGCAACGCCGCGUGGAGGAUGAAGGUAUUCUAUAUCGUAAACUCCUGUGAGAGCAGACGAAAGACAGAUUAUUAAUCUGGAUGACUGUAUGCUCAGAGGAAGCCCCGGCUAACUACGUG
This 472-nucleotide ribosomal RNA is filed under the name uncultured bacterium. RNAcentral's name for it is "bacterial SSU rRNA". It matches the Rfam family "Bacterial small subunit ribosomal RNA", at positions 34 to 507 of the family's 1533-position model. The record is from RNAcentral.